UCGGGAAUUUUGGGCAAUGGGCGAAAGCCUGACCCAGCAACGCCGCGUGAAGGAUGAAGUAUUUCGGUAUGUAAACUUCGAAAGAAUAGGAAGAAUAAAUGACGGUACUAUUUAUAAGGUCCGGCUAACUACGUGCCAGCAGCCGCGGUAAUACGUAGGGACCAAGCGUUGUUCGGAUUUACUGGGCGUAAAGGGCGCGUAGGCGGCAUGACAAGUCACUUGUGAAAUCUCUGGGCUUAACCCAGAACGGCCAAGUGAUACUGUCGCGCUAGAGUGCAGAAGGGGCAAUCGGAAUUCUUGGUGUAGCGGUGAAAUGCGUAGAUAUCAAGAGGAACACCUGAGGUGAAGACGGGUUGCUGGGCUGACACUGACGCUGAGGCGCGAAAGCCAGGGGAGCAAACGGGAUUAGAUACCCCGGUAGUCCCUGAGCGGGCUGGCAAGGCGCAU
This 447-nucleotide ribosomal RNA is filed under the name uncultured bacterium. RNAcentral's name for it is "bacterial SSU rRNA". It matches the Rfam family "Bacterial small subunit ribosomal RNA", at positions 355 to 825 of the family's 1533-position model. The record is from RNAcentral.